This 376-nucleotide ribosomal RNA is filed under the name uncultured bacterium. RNAcentral's name for it is "bacterial SSU rRNA". It matches the Rfam family "Bacterial small subunit ribosomal RNA", at positions 524 to 898 of the family's 1533-position model. The record is from RNAcentral.
UACGGAGGGUGCAAGCGUUGUUCGGAAUUACUGGGCGUAAAGCGCGUGUAGGCGGGUAUGUAGGUCAGAUGUGAAAUCCCUUGGCUCAACUGAGGAACUGCAUCUGAAACCGCAUAUCUUGAGUACGACAGAGGAGAGUGGAAUUCUCAGUGUAGAGGUGAAAUUCAUAGAUAUUGGGAAGAACACCGGUGGCGAAGGCGGCUCUCUGGGUCGAUACUGACGCUGAUACGCGAAAGCGUGGGGAGCAAACAGGAUUAGAUACCCUGGUAGUCCACGCCGUAAACUAUGUGCACUAGGUGUUGGAAGUAAUUAAACUUUCAGUGCCGAAGCUAACGCAUUAAGUGCACCGCCUGGGGAUUACGGUCGCAAGAUUAAA